This 180-nucleotide ribosomal RNA is filed under the name uncultured Glomeromycotina. RNAcentral describes it as "partial small subunit ribosomal RNA". The record is from RNAcentral. Lineage: Eukaryota; Fungi; Glomeromycota.
GGAUCAAUUUAUUGGUCGUGCUAUUGUACGUACUGGUAUUAUUGAUUCCUACCUUCUGACGAACCAUGAUGUCAUUAAUUUGGUGUCAUGGGGAAUCAGGACUGUUACUUUGAAAAAAUUAGAGUGUUCAAAGCAGGCAUGUGCCGGAAUAAUUGCGCUGGGAAUAAUGGAAUAGGACCU